GCCGACCAUCUUGUGAAGGACUCCUUUUGUUCGACAAAAGGAGAGUGCUCUCGAUGAUUUUUUCUGCACCCCACACCUCUUAUUCGGCCCUUCUUUGAAUAGGUUUGGAUGAGGAUCAAAUCUGGUAGAGUUUGAAUUCAAAAUGGUUUUGAAUUCGAACUCAAUUUGAUCCCUAUCCAACCUCUUUCCUUUGUGUUCGGCAACCUUAAAAUGAUAUGAUUUUUGUGCACCACUUCUUCAGGGCUUUUUAAUGUGUGAGAGGCUUGAGAAAGAGAGGAGUUGAACCUCUUAGGGGCAUGAGGAUCUGGGUG
RNAcentral lists this long non-coding RNA (311 nucleotides) under Elaeis guineensis (African oil palm). Its description in RNAcentral is "long non-coding RNA (EGUI_LNC009932)". The record is from RNAcentral. Lineage: Eukaryota; Viridiplantae; Streptophyta; Magnoliopsida; Arecales; Arecaceae.